This 521-nucleotide ribosomal RNA is filed under the name uncultured Desulfobulbus sp. RNAcentral's name for it is "bacterial SSU rRNA". It matches the Rfam family "Bacterial small subunit ribosomal RNA", at positions 912 to 1382 of the family's 1533-position model. The record is from RNAcentral. Lineage: Bacteria; Pseudomonadati; Thermodesulfobacteriota; Desulfobulbia; Desulfobulbales; Desulfobulbaceae.
GCCUUCGCCACGCCCGCUACAGUAAACUUAAAGUAGUAAGUUCGGACGGGGGCCCGCACAAGGCGGUGGAGUAUGUGGUUUAAUUCGAUGCAACGCGAAGAACCUUACCUGGUCUUGACAUCCCGGAGACCCUUAGGAAACUAGGGGGUGCUUCCAUCUGGAAGAAUCUGGAGACAGGUGCUGCAUGGCUGUCGUCAGCUCGUGUCGUGAGAUGUUGGGUUAAGUCCCGCAACGAGCGCAACCCUUGCCUUUAGUUGCCAGCAGUUCGGCUGGGCACUCUAAAGGGACUGCCGGUGUUAAACCGGAGGAAGGUGGGGAUGACGUCAAGUCCUCAUGGCCUUUAUGACCAGGGCUACACACGUACUACAAUGGCCGAUACAAAGGGCAGCGGCACUGCGAGGUGAAGCCAAUCCCGUAAAAUCGGUCUCAGUCCGGAUUGGAGUCUGCAACUCGACUCCAUGAAGUUGGAAUCGCUAGUAAUCGUGGAUCAGCAUGCCACGGUGAAUACGUUCCCGGGCCUU